GUUUGAUUAUGGCUCAGAUUGAACGCUGGCCAGGAUGCUUUACACAUGCAGGUCGAACGGCACGGACUUCGGUCUGGUGGCGAAAGUGGCGAACGGGUGAUAAUGUAUCCGGAACGUGCCUAGUAGCGGGGGAUAACUACGCGAAAGCGUAGCUAAUACCGCAUACGCCCUUCAGGAAAAGCAGGGGACCUUCGGGCCUCGCACUAUUAGAGCGGCCGAUAUCGGAUUAGCCUGGUUGGUGAAA
Molecule: unclassified non-coding RNA, 244 nt
Filed under: uncultured Bordetella sp.
Lineage: Bacteria; Pseudomonadati; Pseudomonadota; Betaproteobacteria; Burkholderiales; Alcaligenaceae
Description: partial 16S-23S ribosomal RNA intergenic spacer
Rfam family: Bacterial small subunit ribosomal RNA
Source: RNAcentral